CCUGCCCAUCACUUGGGGAUAACCUUGCGAAAGUAAGACUAAUACCCAAUGACGUCUCUAGAAGACAUCUGAAAGGGAUUAAAGAUUUAUCGGUGAUGGAUGGGGAUGCGUCUGAUUAGCUUGUUGGCGGGGUAACGGCCCACCAAGGCGACGAUCAGUAGGGGUUCUGAGAGGAAGGUCCCCCACAUUGGAACUGAGACACGGUCCAAACUCCUACGGGAGGCAGCAGUGAGGGAUAUUGGUCAAUGGACGAGAGUCUGAACCAGCCAAGUAGCGUGCAGGAUGACGGCCCUAUGGGUUGUAAACUGCUUUUAUAAGGGAAUAAAGUGAGUCUCGUGAGACUUUUUGCAUGUACCUUAUGAAUAAGGACCGGCUAAUUCCGUGCCAGCAGCCGCGGUAAUACGGAAGGUCCGGGCGUUAUCCGGAUUUAUUGGGUUUAAAGGGAGCGUAGGCCGGAGAUUAAGCGUGUUGUGAAAUGUAGACGCUCAACGUCUGCACUGCAGCGCGAACUGGUUUCCUUGAGUACGCACAAAGUGGGCGGAAUUCGUGGUGUAGCGGUGAAAUGCUUAGAUAUCACGAAGAACUCCGAUUGCGAAGGCAGCUCACUGGAGCGCAACUGACGCUGAAGCUCGAAAGUGCGGGUAUCGAACAGGAUUAGAUACCCUGGUAGUCCGCACGGUAAACGAUGGAUGCCCGCUGUUGGUCUGAACAGGUCAGCGGCCAAGCGAAAGCAUUAAGCAUCCCACCUGGGGAGUAC
Molecule: ribosomal RNA, 757 nt
Filed under: uncultured bacterium
Lineage: Bacteria
Description: bacterial SSU rRNA
Rfam family: Bacterial small subunit ribosomal RNA
Source: RNAcentral